Long non-coding RNA from Symphalangus syndactylus (siamang), 1191 nucleotides. RefSeq lists it as uncharacterized. Lineage: Eukaryota; Metazoa; Chordata; Mammalia; Primates; Hylobatidae. The record is from RefSeq and is a predicted model, not a curated record.
CGGCCAUCAAUAUCACAGCCCACAGACUCGACAGUCCCCAGAAUCUCUUUAACGGUUCCAGAGAGUUAUCUGGCUAAAGAUCAUUGCCGCAUCUGUCCAGCAAUGUGGACAAUCUCAUCAAAAGUCUAACUUGCCUGGAGGCAAGGCUUCAGGGUCAAUAAGGAGAGCUGAUUGCAGGACUAUGCAUCACCAUCUGAUUACCUGGGUGUGCUUCAUGCUCUCGUGUGUGUGUGACAUUGUCAUGGAUGCAAUGUUCUCCUCAGAACAUGGAAUUCAACCUGCUGUCCUCUCUUGGUACCAAUAAUGAAGCUUUUAAAGCAUCCCUGAAAGAUAAAAAUCUCAACAUGCACUUGAACUCGAAGGUGAGAGUGCAUUUCAUUCUGUUCUCAUUUUAUGGAGCAACUCUUCUGCCAGCUCUGGAUUGGCAACUUGACUCUUUUGCAAAAGUUGGUUCUCAGGAGCUCCUACAGAGUGGAAAAAAUCCUUGAUCCCAGUCUUAAAGAUAAGAGGGAUUAGCUCCUUGAUGCUUCAUAAGAGUUAUUGUGCAAGGAUUUGCUAAAGGACCAAAGACAACUGCCAACCUCUUCGAAGGCAAUUUUCCUGCAUCAAUGUCACACAGUGGUCUGCACCAAAGAAGAUAAAUAGAUGGGCUUAGCUACAGAAAGGCAGCCUCCACGGACAGGAGGUGAAUGCAUCCUUCUUCUGCAUGUGGUGCUGAGAAUCAGGAGGGCUUGCAAACUUCACGGGACAGGUUGUCCCCCACCUCCAUCCCAGGACUUCAUCUCAAAAAUAAACAUAAAAGGCAGGAAAAUGCCUCCCUUUUCAUAUCUGACUUCUGCACUUCCAGGCUUGCCUUACAGAAGUGGACAGCCAUGGAUUCGAGAUGUGUCAAAAUUGGAAGGAGCUUUGCUUUCCAUUUGGCCCUGAAAAAGUGUUCCACAACUGGACUGCCAUAUUGAAUUAUUUUCAGCAGUAGAAAUUCUUCGAUGGCCCAUUUCAGACCAGCCUCUAAUUUGAAAGUAAUAACAUUUGGGCAAAGCUUAGAUGGACUAAGUUGCUGCCGAGGGCUUGGUGGGCUUUGAGGUAAUUGGUUUUACUCAGUUGCUGAUGCUUCACUUGGACAAAUGAGAAAUCAAACUACAGCUCAGUUUGCAGAAAAGCCCGUGUCAGCAGUUUAGUCUGACUACUAUU